CAGAGGUAGUUGCUAGGAGACGGUAUUGUCCGCGGCUGUUUAGAUGUGAGGACACUGGUUUGCCUAGUGUCUGGAGUAUUGUUUGGUUUUAGUUAAGACUAGGCCGGAGAUCAGACACUGGUUUGCCUAGUGCCUUAGGUGCCUAAAGGUCUAAAACAGUUAUUAGAGGAGAUAUAAGAAGCAGGUAAUAGAAUGAUGACAGUAAUAGAAUGAUGACAGAAUAGUUAGGAAGGAGCCGAGGAAGAGGAGGGCAGGAAUAGACUGAAGAGGAAGGCGGAAUGAGAGUAAGAGACAGCUACCGAUAAGGCAAGAAUGAGAGGGAGUGUGGAAGAAGCCACAUCAAACGAUUGAAUCAAGGCGGGUAUUAUGAACCCAGACCUAUAAGAAAAUUGGUGAGCCUUCUAUUUGAUGAAUUAAAGCACGGUGACCUAAAGCCCUAG
Molecule: long non-coding RNA, 440 nt
Filed under: Rhinopithecus bieti (black snub-nosed monkey)
Lineage: Eukaryota; Metazoa; Chordata; Mammalia; Primates; Cercopithecidae
Description: lncRNA (ENSRBIG00000045716.1)
Source: RNAcentral